GACGAACGCUGGCGGCGUGCUUAACACAUGCAAGUCGAACGGAAAGGCCCUGCUUUUGUGGGGUGCUCGAGUGGCGAACGGGUGAGUAACACGUGAGUAACCUGCCCUUGACUUUGGGAUAACUUCAGGAAACUGGGGCUAAUACCGGAUAGGAGCUCCUGCUGCAUGGUGGGGGUUGGAAAGUUUCGGCGGUUGGGGAUGGACUCGCGGCUUAUCAGCUUGUUGGUGGGGUAGUGGCUUACCAAGGCUUUGACGGGUAGCCGGCCUGAGAGGGUGACCGGCCACAUUGGGACUGAGAUACGGCCCAGGCUCCUACGGGAGGCAGCAGUGGGGAAUAUUGCACAAUGGGCGGAAGCCUGAUGCAGCAACGCCGCGUGCGGGAUGACGGCCUUCGGGUUGUAAACCGCUUUCGCCUGUGACGAAGCGUGAGUGACGGUAAUGGGUAAAGAAGCACCGGCUAACUACGUGCCAGCAGCCGCGGUGAUACGUAGGGUGCGAGCGUUGUCCGGAUUUAUUGGGCGUAAAGGGCUCGUAGGUGGUUGAUCGCGUCGGAAGUGUAAUCUUGGGGCUUAACCCUGAGCGUGCUUUCGAUACGGGUUGACUUGAGGAAGGUAGGGGAGAAUGGAAUUCCUGGUGGAGCGGUGGAAUGCGCAGAUAUCAGGAGGAACACCAGUGGCGAAGGCGGUUCUCUGGGCCUUUCCUGACGCUGAGGAGCGAAAGCGUGGGGAGCGAACAGGCUUAGAUACCCUGGUAGUCCACGCUGUAAACGGUGGGUACUAGGUGUGGGGUCCAUUCCACGGGUUCCGUGCCGUAGCUAACGCUUUAAGUACCCCGCCUGGGGAGUACGGCCGCAAGGCUAAAACUCAAAGGAAUUGACGGGGCCCCGCACAAGCGGCGGAGCAUGCGGAUUAAUUCGAUGCAGCGCGUAGAACCUUACCUGGGUUUGACAUGGAUCGGGAGUGCUCAGAGAUGGGUGUGCCUCUUUUGGGGUCGGUUCACAGGUGGUGCAUGGCUGUCGUCAGCUCGUGUCGUGAGAUGUUGGGUUAAGUCCCGCAACGAGCGCAACCCUUGUUCACUGUUGCCAGCACGUUAUGGUGGGGACUCAGUGGAGACCGCCGGGGUCAACUCGGAGGAAGGUGGGGAUGACGUCAAGUCAUCAUGCCCCUUAUGUCCAGGGCUUCACGCAUGCUACAAUGGCUGGUACAGAGAGUGGCGAGCCUGUGAGGGUGAGCGAAUCUCGGAAAGCCGGUCUCGGUUCGGAUUGGGGUCUGCAACUCGACCUCAUGAAGUCGGAGUCGCUGGUAAUCGCAGAUCAGCAACGCUGCGGUGAAUACGUUCCCGGG
This 1343-nucleotide ribosomal RNA is filed under the name uncultured bacterium. Its description in RNAcentral is "16S ribosomal RNA". It matches the Rfam family "Bacterial small subunit ribosomal RNA", at positions 28 to 1378 of the family's 1533-position model. The record is from RNAcentral.